RNAcentral lists this ribosomal RNA (253 nucleotides) under uncultured bacterium. Its description in RNAcentral is "partial 16S ribosomal RNA". It matches the Rfam family "Bacterial small subunit ribosomal RNA", at positions 524 to 776 of the family's 1533-position model. The record is from RNAcentral.
UACGUAGGGUGCAAGCGUUGUCCGGAAUUAUUGGGCGUAAAGAGCUCGUAGGCGGUCUGUCGCGUCUGCUGUGAAAACUCAGGGCUUAACCCUGAGCUUGCAGUGGGUACGGGCAGACUAGAGUGCGGUAGGGGAGACUGGAAUUCCUGGUGUAGCGGUGAAAUGCGCAGAUAUCAGGAGGAACACCGGUGGCGAAGGCGGGUCUCUGGGCAACUACUGACGCUGAGGAGCGAAAGCGUGGGGAGCGAACAGG